Molecule: ribosomal RNA, 779 nt
Filed under: Weissella paramesenteroides
Lineage: Bacteria; Bacillati; Bacillota; Bacilli; Lactobacillales; Lactobacillaceae
Description: bacterial SSU rRNA
Rfam family: Bacterial small subunit ribosomal RNA
Source: RNAcentral
UAAUACAUGCAAGUCGAACGCUUUGUCUUUAAUUGAUCUGACGAGCUUGCUCUGAUGUGAUUUUAUCUGACAAAGAGUGGCGAACGGGUGAGUAACACGUGGGUAACCUACCUCUUAGCAGGGGAUAACAUUUGGAAACAAGUGCUAAUACCGUAUAAUACCAACAACCGCAUGGUUGUUGGUUGAAAGAUGGUUCUGCUAUCACUAAGAGAUGGACCCGCGGUGCAUUAGCUAGUUGGUAAGGUAACGGCUUACCAAGGCAAUGAUGCAUAGCCGAGUUGAGAGACUGAUCGGCCACAAUGGGACUGAGACACGGCCCAUACUCCUACGGGAGGCAGCAGUAGGGAAUCUUCCACAAUGGGCGCAAGCCUGAUGGAGCAACGCCGCGUGUGUGAUGAAGGGUUUCGGCUCGUAAAACACUGUUAUAAGAGAAGAACGGCACUGAGAGUAACUGUUCAGUGUGUGACGGUAUCUUACCAGAAAGGAACGGCUAAAUACGUGCCAGCAGCCGCGGUAAUACGUAUGUUCCAAGCGUUAUCCGGAUUUAUUGGGCGUAAAGCGAGCGCAGACGGUUAUUUAAGUCUGAAGUGAAAGCCCUCAGCUCAACUGAGGAAUGGCUUUGGAAACUGGAUGACUUGAGUGCAGUAGAGGAAAGUGGAACUCCAUGUGUAGCGGUGAAAUGCGUAGAUAUAUGGAAGAACACCAGUGGCGAAGGCGGCUUUCUGGACUGUAACUGACGUUGAGGCUCGAAAGUGUGGGUAGCAAACAGGAUUAGAUAC